RNAcentral lists this ribosomal RNA (360 nucleotides) under uncultured soil bacterium. RNAcentral describes it as "bacterial SSU rRNA". It matches the Rfam family "Bacterial small subunit ribosomal RNA", at positions 26 to 409 of the family's 1533-position model. The record is from RNAcentral.
AGAACGAACGCUGGCGGCAUGCCUAAUACAUGCAAGUCGAACGAACACUUCGGUGUUAGUGGCGCACGGGUGCGUAACGCGUGGGAAUCUGCCCUUGGGUUCGGAAUAACAGUUGGAAACGACUGCUAAUACCGGAUGAUAUCGAAAGAUCAAAGAUUUAUCGCCCAGGGAUGAGCCCGCGUAGGAUUAGCUAGUUGGUGAGGUAAAGCUCACCAAGGCGACGAUCCUUAGCUGGUCUGAGAGGAUGAUCAGCCACACGUGGGACUGAGACACGGCCCAGACCUCCGACGGGAGGCAGCAGUAGGGAAUAGUGGACAAGUGGGACGCAAGCCUGAUCCAGCAAUCGCCGCGUAGAGUGAU